This 253-nucleotide ribosomal RNA is filed under the name uncultured bacterium. RNAcentral describes it as "partial 16S ribosomal RNA". It matches the Rfam family "Bacterial small subunit ribosomal RNA", at positions 524 to 776 of the family's 1533-position model. The record is from RNAcentral.
UACGGAGGAUCCAAGCGUUAUCCGGAUUUAUUGGGUUUAAAGGGUGCGUAGGCGGAAUAGUAAGCCAGUGGUGAAAGCCUGUCGCUUAACGACAGAACUGCCAUUGAUACUGCUAAUCUUGAGUAUAAUUGAAGUGGGCGGAAUGUGUCGUGUAGCGGUGAAAUGCUUAGAUAUGACACAGAACACCGAUUGCGAAGGCAGCUCACUAAACUAUAACUGACGCUGAGGCACGAAAGCGUGGGGAUCAAACAGG